UACAUGGGGUGCAAACGUUGCUCGGAAUUAUUGGGCGUAAAGCGCGCGUAGGCGGUUGCUCAAGUCGGAUGUGAAAGCCCUCGGCUUAACUGAGGAAGUGCACCCGAAACUGAGUAGCUAGAGUACUAAAGAGGGUCGCGGAAUUCCCGGUGUAGAGGUGAAAUUCGUAGAUAUUCGCAAGAACACCAGUGGCGAAGGCGGCUCACUGGCCCGAUACUGACGCUGAGGCACGAAAGCGUGGGGAGCAAACAGG
This 253-nucleotide ribosomal RNA is filed under the name uncultured bacterium. Its description in RNAcentral is "partial 16S ribosomal RNA". It matches the Rfam family "Bacterial small subunit ribosomal RNA", at positions 524 to 776 of the family's 1533-position model. The record is from RNAcentral.